CUGGACAAAGACUGACGCUCAGGUGCGAAAGCGUGGGGAGCAAACAGGAUUAGAUACCCUGGUAGUCCACGCCGUAAACGAUGUCGAUUUGGAGGUUGUGCCCUUGAGGCGUGGCUUCCGGAGCUAACGCGUUAAAUCGACCGCCUGGGGAGUACGGCCGCAAGGUUAAAACUCAAAUGAAUUGACGGGGGCCCGCACAAGCGGUGGAGCAUGUGGUUUAAUUCGAUGCAACGCGAAGAACCUUACCUGGUCUUGACAUCCACAGAACUUUCCAGAGAUGGAUUGGUGCCUUCGGGAACUGUGAGACAGGUGCUGCAUGGCUGUCGUCAGCUCGUGUUGUGAAAUGUUGGGUUAAGUCCCGCAACGAGCGCAACCCUUAUCCUUUGUUGCCAGCGGUU
RNAcentral lists this ribosomal RNA (398 nucleotides) under Klebsiella pneumoniae. RNAcentral describes it as "bacterial SSU rRNA". It matches the Rfam family "Bacterial small subunit ribosomal RNA", at positions 729 to 1126 of the family's 1533-position model. The record is from RNAcentral. Lineage: Bacteria; Pseudomonadati; Pseudomonadota; Gammaproteobacteria; Enterobacterales; Enterobacteriaceae.